UACGAAGGGGGCAAGCGUUGUUCGGAAUUACUGGGCGUAAAGGGCGCGUAGGCGGCUUACCAAGUCAGGCGUGAAAUUCCCGGGCUCAACCUGGGGGCUGCGCUUGAUACUGGUGAGCUUGAAUGCGGGAGAGGAUAGUGGAAUUCCUAGUGUAGAGGUGAAAUUCGUAGAUAUUGGGAAGAACACCGGUGGCGAAGGCGGCUAUCUGGCCCGUAAUUGACGCUGAGGCGCGAAAGCGUGGGGAGCAAACAGG
This 253-nucleotide ribosomal RNA is filed under the name uncultured bacterium. RNAcentral's name for it is "partial 16S ribosomal RNA". It matches the Rfam family "Bacterial small subunit ribosomal RNA", at positions 524 to 776 of the family's 1533-position model. The record is from RNAcentral.